GUGUAGGAUUAGUGUAGUGUAGGAUUAGUGUAGUGUGGAGUUAGUGUAGUGUAUGGUUACUGUAGUGUAUGGUUAGUGUAGUGUGGGGUUAGUGUAGUGUAGGAUUAGUGUAGUGUGGAGUUAGUGUUGUGUGGGGUUAGUGUAGUGUGGGUUUAGUGUAGUGUAGGGUUAGUGUAGUGUAUGGUUAGUGUAGUGUAGGGUUAGUGUAGUGUAUGUGUAGUGUAGUGUAUGGUUAGUGUAGUGUGGGGUUAGUGUAGUGUAUGGUUAGUGUAGUGUGGGUUAGUGUAGUUGUGGAGUUAGUGUAGUGUAUGGUUAGCGUAGUGUAUGGUAGGAUUAGUGUAGUGUAUGGUUAGUGUAGUGUGGGGUUAGUGUAGUGUAUGGUUAGUGUGGUGUGGGUUUAGUGUAGUGUAUGGUUAGUGUGGUGUGGGGUUAGUGUAGUGUGGGUUAGUGUAGUGUAGAGUUAGUGUAGUGUGGGUUAGUGUAGUGUAGAGUUAGUGUAGUGUGGGUUAGUGUAGUGUAUGGUUAGUGUAGUGUAGAGUUAGUGUAGUGUGGGUUAGUGUAGUGUAUGGUUAGUUUAGUGUAUGGUUAGUGUAGUGUAUGGUUAGUGUAGUGUGGGUUAGUGUAGUGUAGAGUUAGUGUAGUGUGGGUUAGUGUAGUGUAUGGUUAGUGUAGUGUGGGGUUAGCGUAGUGUGGGGAUAGUGUAGUGUGGGUUAGUGUAGUGUAGAGUUAGUGUAGUGUGGGUUAGUGUAGUGUAGGAUUAGUGUAGUGUAUGGUUAGUGUAGUGUAUGGUUAGUGUUGUGUAUGGUUAGUGUAGUGUGGGGUUAGUGUAGUGUAGGAUUAGUGUAGUGUAUGGUUAGUGUAGUGUAUGGUUAGUGUAGUGUAUGGUAGGAUUAGUGUAGUGUAUGGUUAGCGUAUGUAUGGUUAGUGUUGUGUGGGGUUAGUGUAGUGUAUGGUUAGUGUGGUGUGGGGUUAGUGUAGUGUAUGGUUAGUGUGGUGUGGGGUUAGUGUAGUGUAUGGUUAGUGUAGUGUGGGGUUAGUGUAGUGUGGAGUUAGUGUAGUGUAUGGUUAGUGUAGUGU
Oncorhynchus tshawytscha (Chinook salmon) is the source of this 1077-nucleotide long non-coding RNA. Lineage: Eukaryota; Metazoa; Chordata; Actinopteri; Salmoniformes; Salmonidae. The record is from Ensembl.